GCGCCCUCUGUCGGAGCUGGUUAAUCGAUUGAGCGGUGAGCGAUCCAGGGAUCAGGAUGUAUCGAUGAGGAUCGAUUAACCGCGUCUGAUCGAGGGGAAAUGGAAGUCUGCAGGCGGAGGAUAAGAGAUUCAUCGAUGAAUGUGGAACUUUGGUUUUGUCUGUGAGGAAACGUUUUAAGGGAAAUGUCUUUAUGAACGUCAAAUUAUCGUGACAAAGAAGAGGCAGAUUUCUAUCAAAUUUAAAUAUAUAGAUUUGAUCCGAUGAGAAGCUACAGCCAGUACAGCGAACAGACCGAAAACACCAACAACCUUCAUCCCAGAGCUGUGUCUCCUCAGCCUGUGACUGCUGCACUACAGCAUGUAGACAGCAGUGCAUUCUCCUGCAGCUUUUGCAAAUGAAAAUGGAGGACGUGUCUCUGUCCAGUAUGGACAACAGUAAGAUGGAGGGCUUUGUUCAAGAGAUCCUGUCUGACCUGGUGGAAGACGCCUGUUUGGGUCUUUGUUUUGAGGUGCACAGGGCUGUCAAACAAGGAUACUUUUUCUUGGAUGAUACAGACCAGGAUAGUAUGAAGGACUUUGAAAUUGUGGACCAGCCUGGAGUAGACAUUUUUGGGCAAGUGUACAACCAGUGGAAAAACAAAGAGUGUGUGUGUCCCAACUGCAGCCGCAGCAUUGCUGCGUCUCGCUUUGCACCACACCUGGAGAAAUGCCUCGGGAUGGGCCGCAACAGCAGUCGUAUUGCCAACCGCAGAAUUGCAAGCGGCAACAACACAAACAAAUCAGAGAGCGAUCAAGAGGACAAUGAUGAUGUAAACGACAAUGAUUGGUCUUAUGGCGCAGAAAAGAAAGCCAAGAAGAGAAAGUCAGAUAAGGUAUUUUUACAUUCUUUGAAACAACCUGUACCUUUGAAUCCAAAUUCACCAAGAAGAUCCAAAUCGAUGAAACAUAAAAAUGCCUGAUGCCUCUGGUUGAUACGUGUCGCUGACGAGAGCCGCAAUUUUCUCAGAUGCUUUGCUGGGUCCUAAGCACCGCAUGGAGAACCAAGAUAGCUCCUGCGUGUUGCUAAGAGACGAGACAUUUUCUCAAUAAUGCUGUUGGAAGCAAAAGUCACUUGAUCGCAGCAUUGCGUGAGCUGAAUUAUGCUGAUCAACGGCGGAGACAUGGACUAAUUCUUCUGACAUUGAGUUUACAUUUUACUUUUUUUUUCUUAUUUGUUACUUCUUUUUUUUCUUCAGGAAUAUUUGCACAUGGCUGGUCUCUUUAAAAUGACACGUUUAGGAUAGAGGAACUUGCGUAAUUCUCUCAGGGAGGAAGUUCAAACUCGUCAUCCUAUCAGCAGACAGAAACAGCUGAGCAUAGAGUCACAGAUGCUGGGCCUCUCCCAUAACAAAGAGACAGUAUUCUUUCUAAAAUAAAAAUUCUAACAAUGUAUACCUUCUCAUAUCUGUGCCCUCUUAUUCUAGGGCAUUUUGAAGCAAUUAAAAUAAAUUGGGCAUGGUUAUUAGCAUGCACAUCCAGAUUAGUAAUCCAUGUCAACAAUUUCCCAUCAGGUUACUUAUUGUACUGUUUGAUAUUAUUGAAUUGUAUUGAAAAUCACGAUCUAGUAAAAUAUAUUCUUUUCUCUGUAGUUCCAAUAGCCAAAGUGUGGUACAAUUGUACUGUAUGUUACUCUAGUCCUCUAGCACAUCAUCAUCAUACUACAUUUUUUCCAUUGGUAAAUUAUUGGUUACAGAGAGAACAGAGGUUGGUAGUCUCCAAAAAAAAAAAAGAUCUGAUCAUGGCAUGAGUGUCUUUAUCAGUGUAAUUGUUUUCUUUUUGUAUUUCUUAUGUAUUAGAUGUUUACAGUGGAAUGUGUCCUGUGCGGUCUCACAUUGUGUAAAACUGUAUAUAUUUGACUAGAUGAAAAAUGCUGCUAUCCUCACCAUGAGUCAUUAUCUUAUGGGCAUGUAAUAAAAGAUCUCAGAACAUG
RNA transcript from Triplophysa rosa, 1969 nucleotides. It is a transcript of the gene named ataxin 7 like 3b, with no coding region annotated. The transcript has 9 exons. NCBI's taxonomy places the organism in Eukaryota, Metazoa, Chordata, Actinopteri, Cypriniformes, Nemacheilidae. The record is from RefSeq and is a predicted model, not a curated record.